GACGAACGCUGGCGGCGUGCCUAAUACAUGCAAGUAGAACGCUGAAGGAGGAGCUUGCUCUUCUGGAUGAGUUGCGAACGGGUGAGUAACGCGUAGGUAACCUGCCUGGUAGCGGGGGAUAACUAUUGGAAACGAUAGCUAAUACCGCAUAAGAGUAGAUGUUGCAUGACAUUUACUUAAAAGGUGCAAUUGCAUCACUACCAGAUGGACCUGCGUUGUAUUAGCUAGUUGGUGGGGUAACGGCUUACCAAGGCGACGAUACAUAGCCGACCUGAGAGGGUGAUCGGCCACACUGGGACUGGGACACGGCCCAGGCUCCUACGGGAGGCAGCAGUAGGGAAUCUUCGGCAAUGGACGGAAGUCUGACCGAGCAACGCCGCGUGAGUGAAGAAGGUUUUCGGAUCGUAAAGCUCUGUUGUAAGAGAAGAACGAGUGUGAGAGUGGAAAGUUCACACUGUGACGGUAUCUUACCAGAAAGGGACGGCUAACUACGUG
This 495-nucleotide ribosomal RNA is filed under the name uncultured bacterium. RNAcentral's name for it is "partial 16S ribosomal RNA". It matches the Rfam family "Bacterial small subunit ribosomal RNA", at positions 28 to 507 of the family's 1533-position model. The record is from RNAcentral.